Molecule: ribosomal RNA, 441 nt
Filed under: uncultured bacterium
Lineage: Bacteria
Description: bacterial SSU rRNA
Rfam family: Bacterial small subunit ribosomal RNA
Source: RNAcentral
UGAGGAAUAUUGGUCAAUGGGCGGGAGCCUGAACCAGCCAAGCCGCGUGAGGGAUGAAGGCCCUAUGGGUCGUAAACCUCUUUUGUCAGGGAACAAAAGCGAGUAUGUAUACUGGUCUGAGUGUACCUGAAGAAAAAGCAUCGGCUAACUCCGUGCCAGCAGCCGCGGUAAUACGGAGGAUGCGAGCGUUAUCCGGAUUUAUUGGGUUUAAAGGGUGCGUAGGCGGCGGUGCAAGUCAGCGGUAAAAGCCCGGGGCUCAACCCCGGCGAGCCGUUGAAACUGCAGUGCUAGAGAAGGCGAGAGGUACGCGGAAUGCGCAGUGUGAGCGGUGAAAUGCUUAAGAUAUUGCGCAGUGAACUCCGAUUGCGAACGGCUAGACGUACUGGCGCCUGCACUGACGCUGAGGCACGAAAGCGUGGGGAUCGAACAGGAUUAGAUACC